RNAcentral lists this ribosomal RNA (696 nucleotides) under uncultured bacterium. RNAcentral describes it as "bacterial SSU rRNA". It matches the Rfam family "Bacterial small subunit ribosomal RNA", at positions 32 to 715 of the family's 1533-position model. The record is from RNAcentral.
AACGCUAGCUACAGGCUUAACACAUGCAAGUCGAGGGGAAACGACAUCGAAAGCUUGCUUUUGAUGGGCGUCGACCGGCGCACGGGUGAGUAACGCGUAUCCAACCUGCCCACCACUUGGGGAUAACCUUGCGAAAGUAAGACUAAUACCCAAUGAUAUCUCUAGAAGACAUCUGAAAGAGAUUAAAGAUUUAUCGGUGAUGGAUGGGGAUGCGUCUGAUUAGCUUGUUGGCGGGGUAACGGCCCACCAAGGCGACGAUCAGUAGGGGUUCUGAGGGGAAGGUCCCCCACAUUGGAACUGAGACACGGUCCAAACUCCUACGGGAGGCAGCAGUGAGGAAUAUUGGUCAAUGGGCGAGAGCCUGAACCAGCCAAGUAGCGUGCAGGAAGACGGCCCUAUGGGUUGUAAACUGCUUUUAUAAGGGAAUAAAGUGAGAGUCGUGACUCUUUUUGCAUGUACCUUAUGAAUAAGGAUCGGCUAACUCCGUGCCAGCAGCCGCGGUAAUACGGAGGAUCCAAGCGUUAUCCGGAUUUAUUGGGUUUAAAGGGAGCGUAGAUGGAUUUUUAAGUCAGUUGUGAAAGUUCGGGGCUCAACCCCGUAAUUGCAGUUGAUACUGGAUAUCUUGAGUACAGUUGAGGUAGGCGGAAUUCGUGGUGUAGCGGUGAAAUGCUUAGAUAUCACGAAGAACUCCGAUUG